This 698-nucleotide long non-coding RNA is filed under the name Capra hircus (goat). Its description in RNAcentral is "lncRNA (ENSCHIG00000004243.1)". Lineage: Eukaryota; Metazoa; Chordata; Mammalia; Artiodactyla; Bovidae. The record is from RNAcentral.
GGAGGGGGGUGGAAGCCGAAGCCAGCAAAGGGGGAAACUGAACUACAGAGGUAGCUCGACGGAAGCCUCCGCUGGAGCCCCACGGAGAGCUCUGGAGCUGGGUUGACCCUUCGGAGUGGCUCGCAGGGGUGAGCUGGAGGGGUAAGCCUCCAGACGCGGGCGUGGACCAGCCUCGGGCGUGGGCUGCUCCAGAAGCCGGCUUGGCCCUGGGCAGGGCGGUUUCUUCAGCCUUGGGGAGGGGCUGAAGGCCACUUUCCAGCAGCCCAAAGUGUAUGGAUGGGGGAACCCGGCCACCACCCCCUUGCCUCCCCCGGAGGCCAGCCUGGCCUCCUUUCCUGUUUCAUCUCCUCCCAUUCUUCCUGCUACCCCUCCUCUCAUCCCUCUUUUCUUCCCUCUUCCCUGCAGGAACUAUCCCAGAGGUUUUCAAAAUUUUAAAGGCCGUCCAAUCCGGCGGGCCAGUGCAAGUUUACAAUCAGCGAAACCGCCCUAAUGGAGGCACAAGCCUGGUUCUGAAGGGUGGAGUCAGAGUCAUCAGGAAACAGAGGGUUCUCAGCCAGCAGUAUCAUGCUUACCUGUAUCAGAUGAAAAACAACUUGUUUUGAGAGCACGCACUCCUGAGAUCUUCGGGCUCUUCCUUCCGGCUGAUGAAAUUAAUUUUGAAGGUAGGAGGAAUCGAGGAGGAGGCUGGGAAUGGGUCA